AUGGUCUCAAGACCACUCCGGUUUCUCCGCGCCAUUUACCACCAACUGACGCCUGCUCGUUGCAGCGCGUGAACG
This 75-nucleotide small RNA is filed under the name Glaciimonas immobilis. Its description in RNAcentral is "Oxalobacteraceae bacterium Cr9-30 Xanthomonas sRNA sX9". It matches the Rfam family "Xanthomonas sRNA sX9". The record is from Rfam by way of RNAcentral. Lineage: Bacteria; Pseudomonadati; Pseudomonadota; Betaproteobacteria; Burkholderiales; Oxalobacteraceae.